This 498-nucleotide ribosomal RNA is filed under the name uncultured bacterium. Its description in RNAcentral is "partial 16S ribosomal RNA". It matches the Rfam family "Bacterial small subunit ribosomal RNA", at positions 28 to 507 of the family's 1533-position model. The record is from RNAcentral.
GACGAACGCUGGCGGCGUGCCUAAUACAUGCAAGUCGAACGAGAGCGCCCGGUGCUUGCCCUGGUCAAUCUAGUGGCGAACGUGUGAGUAACACGUGGGUAACCUGCCCAUCAGAGGGGGAUAACAUCCGGAAACGGAUGCUAAAACCGCAUAGGUCUUCGAGCCGCAUGGCUUGAAGAGGAAAAGAGGCGCAAGCUUCUGCUGAUGGAUGUACCCGCGGUGCAUUAGCUAGUUGGUGAGGUAACGGCUCACCAAGGCCGUGAUGCAUAGCCGACCUGAGAGGGUGAUCGGCCACAGUGGGACUGAGACACGGCCCAAACUCCUACGGGAGGCAGCAGUAGGGAAUCUUCCGCAAUGGACGCAAGUCUGACGGAGCAACGCCGCGUGAGUGAAGAAGGUUUUCGGAUCGUAAAACUCUGUUGUUAGAGAAGAACAAGUGCUAGAGUAACUGUUAGCGCCUUGACGGUAGCUAACCAGAAAGCCACGGCUAACUACGUG